This is a non-coding RNA of Camelina sativa (false flax), 314 nucleotides long. The record is from RefSeq and is a predicted model, not a curated record. NCBI's taxonomy places the organism in Eukaryota, Viridiplantae, Streptophyta, Magnoliopsida, Brassicales, Brassicaceae.
UCCAUCCGGUUUGGUCUCACAGAAGCUCAUGGGAAAGGGCAAGCAUUGCAAUUCAAUUGGUUGUAUGAGAAAGGAGCCUUUGUUUUCCACAAGGACUCGACCUUCUCCGUUGAUUUCGAUAAGGUCGAAGGUGCGGUUGAGAGUCUGAGCCAUGAGAUACUAACCAUUCAAGGAAAAGGUGACAAAAACGCAGCAACAUUGCUUCUAGAUAAGUACUGCACCGUCACCGGACCGUUGAAAACAGCUCUGGAGAAUCUCGAAAGCGUAAAGGUACCAGUGGAUAUAUCUCCAACAUUUCCAUUAGCAGAUGCAUU